Molecule: ribosomal RNA, 502 nt
Filed under: Mycobacterium triplex
Lineage: Bacteria; Bacillati; Actinomycetota; Actinomycetes; Mycobacteriales; Mycobacteriaceae
Description: bacterial SSU rRNA
Rfam family: Bacterial small subunit ribosomal RNA
Source: RNAcentral
UGGAGAGUUUGAUCCUGGCUCAGGACGAACGCUGGCGGCGUGCUUAACACAUGCAAGUCGAACGGAAAGGCCUCUUCGGAGGUACUCGAGUGGCGAACGGGUGAGUAACACGUGGGUAAUCUGCCCUGCACUUCGGGAUAAGCCUGGGAAACUGGGUCUAAUACCGGAUAUGACCACGAGACGCAUGUCCUGUGGUGGAAAGCUUUUGCGGUGUGGGAUGGGCCCGCGGCCUAUCAGCUUGUUGGUGGGGUGACGGCCUACCAAGGCGACGACGGGUAGCCGGCCUGAGAGGGUGUCCGGCCACACUGGGACUGAGAUACGGCCCAGACUCCUACGGGAGGCAGCAGUGGGGAAUAUUGCACAAUGGGCGCAAGCCUGAUGCAGCGACGCCGCGUGGGGGAUGACGGCCUUCGGGUUGUAAACCUCUUUCAGCAGGGACGAAGCGCAAGUGACGGUACCUGCAGAAAAAGCACCGGCCAACUACGUGCCAGCAGCCGCGGUA